Molecule: long non-coding RNA, 503 nt
Filed under: Phoenix dactylifera (date palm)
Lineage: Eukaryota; Viridiplantae; Streptophyta; Magnoliopsida; Arecales; Arecaceae
Description: long non-coding RNA (PDAC_LNC008908)
Source: RNAcentral
AGCCAACCAAUUACAUUUAGCUUUCAAAUCCAUCUCAAUACAAAAUAUAACAAAUAAAAGUCCAAUAUCAUGAUCCAUUAAAUAACCAAAUAAACACCAGUCCAGAGCAUCUAAAUUCAAACAUAAAUAUCAAACUUAUAAUCUGCAAUAUUUAGAAAAUUACCAAGCUACAAAUUCAUAACCAACUAAGGAACUAAAAUUCAGCUACAAAGUCGCCUAGCUUGCUAGCAUGAACUCUAAACCUAGACCAUCCUUUGUCCUUACUGACUUUACUCAUCUGAAAAGAAAAAAAAUAAAAAAGAGAUAUGAGCUAUGCAACUCAAUAAGUAAAACUUACAUUACCUUACUGGAUUAAGCAUAAGUUUUUUCAUGUCAAUGCAUCAUUUAAAAAAAAUAACAAUUAUUGCAAAAAUAAAGUAUUUCAUAGUACAAUAUAUUAAAACAAGUCAUAAAGCCAAUUAUGCAUGAACAAAUAGUCCAUUUUUCAUAAAUAUGGUUUCAAG